RNAcentral lists this long non-coding RNA (199 nucleotides) under Elaeis guineensis (African oil palm). Its description in RNAcentral is "long non-coding RNA (EGUI_LNC026249)". Lineage: Eukaryota; Viridiplantae; Streptophyta; Magnoliopsida; Arecales; Arecaceae. The record is from RNAcentral.
UGUCACACGGAGAAAUAUUCUUUUAAGGAAGAUUGAAGAUUUAAGAUGGAAUGGAAGAGAAGAAGGAUAAAAAUAGUCAAGAGUGCGAGCAAUAAGAUAUGUGGAUUCGGUGCCGGCUUUGAAGACUUCUUAGGCUGCCCACGCUUUUCGGAGGCUUCGUAGCUACGGCUUUCGGGCGGUGCGAGGAUGUCUACCCACG